RNAcentral lists this ribosomal RNA (257 nucleotides) under uncultured bacterium. Its description in RNAcentral is "partial 16S ribosomal RNA". It matches the Rfam family "Bacterial small subunit ribosomal RNA", at positions 524 to 776 of the family's 1533-position model. The record is from RNAcentral.
UACGUAGGGGUGCAAGCGUUUAAUCGGAAUUACUGGGCGUAAAGCGUGCGCAGGCGGUUAUGUAAGACAGGUGUGAAAUCCCCGGGCUUAACCUGGGAACUGCAUUUGUGACUGCAUAGCUAGAGUACGGGUAGAGGGGGGAUGGAAUUCCGCGUGUAGCAGUGAAAUUCGUAGAUAUCGAGAGGAACACCGGUGGCGAAGGCGGCCAACUGGACGAAGACUGACGCUGAGACACGAAAGCGUGGGGAGCAAACAGG